GACGACCCGACCCGUUCCCCCAAAUAACCCUUAAUUAAAAGAAAAGAGAGCUUAAUCCCUAAAUCCCAAAGACGCGCAAUGUUCAUCUUCUUCUUCAUCUCAGCCGCGUCCAAACUCCGCCAAAUCUCAGGCGGGUGAGCCAAAAUCACUCACAUGCAUCUUAUCUCACCACGUCAGCAAUUCUAACCGCUUCUGACAUUUUUUUCAUCUCUCAUGUGCUGGAUUUGUUUGGGAAUUUCUGGAGAAUGAAGUCCUAGAAAUGGGAGUCAUGGAUUGAUUUUGAAUCGAUCCUCUCCUUCCAUUUGUCCGGAUUUGUUGUAAAAAGAUAUUUUUUGGGAGUUCUUGAAAAAAAAAGGAGAAAAACUUCGAGAGAGGGGUAUAUAUACCUAGGUCUGUUUUCAGUAUGGAGGAGUUUUUUUUAGGUAGAUUUUUAGGUUUCUAGAAAGGCUUCUCUUCUUCCCUUUUGAUGUUCUGCAUUUUUCUUUUGUCUAAUUCUAGUCACAAAAUCAAAAAUAAAAAAAUUUUAUUUUGUUUAAUAUUUGCAACCAUGUUCUAUACACCUAAAAAUUCAGAAAUUUCAUCUUCAUUACGAGCUGGAUUGAGGUUCGAGAUUAGGUGUUAGUAGCCGAUUGAAGAUUCCGUCCGAGUUUGCUGUUUGGUUCAAGUUUUUGUUCUAGCUGUGGUAUCGAUUUUGUUCAUAUAGUUACUUAAUAGUUUUGAGGAAUUUGAAACUCCAAUCUUCAGGUGCAGUUCCUUCUUUCUUCUCAUGUCUCUGUAUGUGUGGAUCCAAGUAUGGUUGAGUCUAAGAUAUGGAGAAUGAAAUUACAUUUUUGUUCAUUUCCUUUAUAAAUCAGUGUGUUUGUGUUUAAUUUGUGAUUGGAACAUCCUGCGAGGUCAUCUUUGCUUUCUUUGGGUUUGAAUGAUUGAAGUUUGAAUCGAGUCUGUAGUUAUUAUACAAGGUGCAAUGUCAGUUUGUCGAUUCAGUGGCAUUUACAGCUCUUCUCACACGUCUCUAAUGCAAUACAAGCUUAUAACACCAGUUAUCUUUUGUUGUUGUUAUGUUGCGCAGUCAAUGAUAUUUACCAAGACCCGCUAUGAAUGCUUGAAGAUAAGCGAUUCAAUGAUUGUUCUAAAGCAGUAGAUGGUAUAGACUUCAGCUAUCCAAGUAGAAUUGAUUUAAAUUUCAGUAAUAGCUUAUUAAGGUUUUGUUCAUUCUUGUCAUGUUUGGUUUAGCUUUGCAUUCGCGUGGAUUGUUCCCCUCGUCUUGGUCCGUAGAAAUGCUGCCGUUGUUAUUUUUAUUAUUCUUGUCAUGUUGAUUCGCUAGUUCUUCUGUUGAUAUUUAGUUGUUUGGUUUCUCUUGCUGUUCUUCUCUUGUUAGGUGCGUAUGCCGAUUUUCUAUUGUCCUCUAUUAGGUUGUGAAGAAUGUUCGAGUGCUAAUUCCAUGAACAUGUUAAAUAUGAUGGAAUCCAACUAUUUUGAACAUAAAAUCUGUCUUGUUUUCUCUGUCUCAAACUGGGAAGUUCAUCGAGUUGCUGUUAUUUGAAAUUUUGAACUGGUGUUAUUCCACUGUCAUUAUACAAAAAUAAUUCUAAUGCCUAAAUUUCAUGUUGUUACUUCUGAAUUUUACGGUAUUUUCUUCUCUUCCUUCUUUGUUUACAUUCCUUUUGAAUGGUCUUGGUGAGACUGAGAAUUAUAUUGCCUGAAUAGAUACCGCAUGCUAGAUCUUUUGACAAUUCAUUUGUUCGAAGCUGCUUGUUUCAUAAUGUCGCUUAAUUGGUUCUUUGGAUUAGUUUCUCGGAUUAGAAACUCCAAUGAUUUGAAAAAGUUAUUAGUUGGCUUGGGGUUUUAAAAGCUGAAUAAAUUUUACAUUCUGAUUA
RNAcentral lists this long non-coding RNA (1877 nucleotides) under Nicotiana benthamiana. RNAcentral's name for it is "long non-coding RNA (NBEN_LNC041771)". The record is from RNAcentral. Lineage: Eukaryota; Viridiplantae; Streptophyta; Magnoliopsida; Solanales; Solanaceae.